CCCUUAGAUGUUCUGGGCAGCACGCGCGCUACAAUGGUCUUCGCAAACGGAUGCAUUCUCGAAGGAGAAUGCCAAUCUUGGAAUCUAUGCCUUGGUCGGGACAGUUGCUUGCAAUUUUUCGACUCGAACCAGGAAUUCCUUGUAAUCGUGAUUCAUCACAUUACGAUGAAUACGUCCCUGCCCUUUGUACACACCGCCCGUCGCUCCUACCGAUCGAAGAGUUAGGUGAAUUGUUUUGAUCGAUAAGAUUUGACUAUGGUCAACUCUCGUUGUGAAAUUCUGUGAAUCUGACUGUUUAGAGGAAGGAAAAGUCGUAACA
RNAcentral lists this ribosomal RNA (319 nucleotides) under uncultured eukaryote. Its description in RNAcentral is "partial 18S ribosomal RNA". It matches the Rfam family "Eukaryotic small subunit ribosomal RNA", at positions 1470 to 1796 of the family's 1831-position model. The record is from RNAcentral.